This is a long non-coding RNA of Drosophila pseudoobscura, 1226 nucleotides long. RefSeq lists it as uncharacterized. The record is from RefSeq and is a predicted model, not a curated record. NCBI's taxonomy places the organism in Eukaryota, Metazoa, Arthropoda, Insecta, Diptera, Drosophilidae. The transcript has 4 exons.
GUGUAGCUCUUCGAUGUUUGCGAAUAAUUCUCCGCGGCCAUGGUCGCUCGAAUUUUCGCUAGGUGUUGCAUGCGAAGAUAUCGAUAGGCGAGACCCUAGAAGCGCUGAGAGGAAGGUAUUUUUUUGAACAGAGUGGCAGGGCCAAAAUUUAAGGGGAAAGGUUAGCGAAGAGUGGCCACCUGGUCCUGGAGAGUUAGAGUUCCUAGUUCAAGGGCGAUAGAAGAGAGAGCGAUGGGGAUCGGCAGCCGGGAGCAUUAAACAGAACAUCCAAGAGGGGGUUCAGAAAGAAAAAUUCCCGCAACGGAGGAACAUGCGCGCCGGGCACAGUGACUUAGCGAUUUUUUUUUGUUCUGAAAGAAAAAGGGAUCCAGAUCAGGGAAAGACCAGGAACCAGGACCAGGAAGCAUAAGAGGAAUAGGUCACAGCUCCGCCACCCUGGCUUGUUUUUCCUGCUGGUCUCGAAGGAUCAGACCUGGCCACGUAGUGCGGGACCCUCGCCCACUUAGGGAGAAGAAAAAAAGCACAUCAACUUAUUUACUCCCAUUAAUUAUUUUUGUUAGACGUCUCCAGUUAUAAGUAUAUGUAAUUUAAGUCCGUCCAUAUUUAUUAUAUAUAUGUAACCUAUUUAUUUAUAUUUAUUAUAUUAUUUAUUCCUAUUAAUCUAAUUAUUUAUUAACCGCCAGUAGUACUAAGAUAAGGGGGGGAUGAAUAGGCAGGCCUAGCUUAGAAAUGAUAUCGUGUGAAAAUAGGAAAUGAAGUGAAGAUUAUAACGAAGAAAUGAAUUGUUAAGCGUUUCGUAUGGGGGGAAGAGGAGCCACAGCAACGAGAGGGUAAGGCUUUUGCCAAUGGCAGGGAGAUCCGGGACGUGUGAUUCAGAUCUCAGGUAGGGUGGGUGCGUCGGGGGUAAAACAUCGACACCUCGUCCUGGUCCAAGUCUGUAUUGAGGGAAGACUGUAAUGGUGUUUGUCGAGUAGAGUCCGUUUCUUUCAGUUUUUUUUCUUGUCGGUUAUUUUUGUUGUUACAUUUUGUUCGAGAUGUCCAAUCAGUUGGUUGUUGUGCGACCUGAGGGCUUAGGAAGUAUCCAGCCCUGGGAUGACUGGCUAGCCGGCCUUGCCCCAAAGAAAAACAAAGGUUCGUAACAAUAAUGGCGCCCAAUCUGAGACAGGGAAGUGGACUCGCAGUCCUGGCUCGACCAUCAAAGAGGGAGAGUACGGAUGCGAAUCAUA